This 254-nucleotide ribosomal RNA is filed under the name uncultured bacterium. RNAcentral's name for it is "partial 16S ribosomal RNA". It matches the Rfam family "Bacterial small subunit ribosomal RNA", at positions 524 to 776 of the family's 1533-position model. The record is from RNAcentral.
UACGGGGGGGGCAAGCGUUGUUCGGAAUUACUGGGCGUAAAGGGCGCGUAGGCGGCCUGCUAAGUCGGACGUGAAAUCCCUCGGCUCAACCGGGGAACUGCGUCCGAUACUGGCGAGGCUUGAAUCCGGGAGAGGGAUGUGGAAUUCCAGGUGUAGCGGUGAAAUGCGUAGAUAUCUGGAGGAACACCGGUGGCGAAGGCGGGUCUCUGGGCCGAUACUGACGCUGAGGAGCGAAAGCGUGGGGAGCGAACAGG